Molecule: transfer RNA, 73 nt
Filed under: Neotoma lepida (desert woodrat)
Lineage: Eukaryota; Metazoa; Chordata; Mammalia; Rodentia; Cricetidae
Rfam family: tRNA
About the family: Transfer RNA (tRNA) molecules are approximately 80 nucleotides in length.
Source: Rfam by way of RNAcentral
GGAGAGGUGGCUCAGUGGUUAACAGCACUGGCUGCUCUCCCAGAGGGUCUGGGUUCAAUUCCCAGCAUCUACA